RNAcentral lists this ribosomal RNA (468 nucleotides) under uncultured bacterium. RNAcentral's name for it is "partial 16S ribosomal RNA". It matches the Rfam family "Bacterial small subunit ribosomal RNA", at positions 28 to 507 of the family's 1533-position model. The record is from RNAcentral.
GACGAACGCUGGCGGCGUGCUUAACACAUGCAAGUCGGACGGAAAGGCCCUGCUUUUGUGGGGUGCUCGAGUGGCGAACGGGUGAGUAACACGUGAGUAACCUGCCCUUGACUUUGGGAUAACUUCAGGAAACUGGGGCUAAUACCGGAUAGGAGCUCCUGCUGCAUGGUGGGGGUUGGAAAGUUUCGGCGGUAGGGGAUGGACUCGCGGCCUAUCAGCUUGUUGGUGGGGUAGUGGCUUACCAAGGCUUUGACGGGUAGCCGGCCUGAGAGGGUGACCGGCCACAUUGGGACUGAGAUACGGCCCAGACUCCUACGGGAGGCAGCAGUGGGGAAUAUUGCACAAUGGGCGGAAGCCUGAUGCAGCAACGCCGCGUGCGGGAUGACGGCCUUCGGGUUGUAAACCGCUUUCGCCUGUGACGAAGCGUGAGUGACGGUAAUGGGUAAAGAAGCACCGGCUAACUACGUG